RNAcentral lists this ribosomal RNA (486 nucleotides) under uncultured bacterium. RNAcentral's name for it is "partial 16S ribosomal RNA". It matches the Rfam family "Bacterial small subunit ribosomal RNA", at positions 28 to 507 of the family's 1533-position model. The record is from RNAcentral.
AUUGAACGCUGGCGGCAUGCCUAACACAUGCAAGUCGAACGGCAGCACGGGUGCUUGCACCUGGUGGCGAGUGGCGAACGGGUGAGUAAUACAUCGGAACAUGUCCUGUAGUGGGGGAUAGCCCGGCGAAAGCCGGAUUAAUACCGCAUACGAUCCUCGGAUGAAAGCGGGGGACCUUCUGGCCUCGCGCUGUUGGGUUGGCAGAUGGCUGAUUAGCUAGUUAGUGGGGUAAAGGCCUACCAAGGCGAGGGCCAGUAACGGGUCUGAGAGGGCGGCUAGCCACACUGGGAGUGAGACACGGCCGACACACUUGCGGUAGGCCGCAGUGGGGAAUCUUGCACGAGGGGGGAGAGCCUGAUCCAGCACUGCCGGGUGAGUCAAGAAGGCGUUCGGGUUGGAGAGCACUGUUGUCCGGAGAGAAAUACUUCGCUUUAAUCCAGGCGGGGGAUGACGGUACCGGAAGAAUAAGCACCGGCUAACUACGUG